RNAcentral lists this ribosomal RNA (504 nucleotides) under uncultured Glomus. RNAcentral describes it as "SSU rRNA". It matches the Rfam family "Eukaryotic small subunit ribosomal RNA", at positions 569 to 1077 of the family's 1831-position model. The record is from RNAcentral. Lineage: Eukaryota; Fungi; Glomeromycota; Glomeromycetes; Glomerales; Glomeraceae.
AGCAGCCGCGGUAAUUCCAGCUCCAAUAGCGUAUAUUAAAGUUGUUGCAGUUAAAAAGCUCGUAGUUGAAUUUCGGGGUCAGUAGGUUGGUCGUGCCACCGGUACGUACUGGUCUCACUGAUUCCUCCUUCCUGAUGAGCUGUAAUGCCAUUAAUUUGGUGUUGCAGGGAAUCUGGACUGUUACUUUGAAAAAAUUAGAGUGUUUAAAGCAGGCUAACGCUUGAAUACAUUAGCAUGGAAUAAUGAAAUAGGACGUUCGAUCCUAUUUUGUUGGUUUCUAGGAUUGACGUAAUGAUUAAUAGGGAUAGUUGGGGGCAUUAGUAUUCAAUUGUCAGAGGUGAAAUUCUUGGAUUUAUUGAAGACUAACUACUGCGAAAGCAUUUGCCAAGGAUGUUUUCAUUAAUCAAGAACGAAAGUUAGGGGAUCGAAGACGAUCAGAUACCGUCGUAGUCUUAACCAUAAACUAUGCCGACUAGGGAUCGGAUGAUGUUAAUUUUUUAAUGA